Ruditapes philippinarum (Manila clam) is the source of this 1061-nucleotide long non-coding RNA. RefSeq lists it as uncharacterized. The record is from RefSeq and is a predicted model, not a curated record. Lineage: Eukaryota; Metazoa; Mollusca; Bivalvia; Venerida; Veneridae. The transcript is spliced from 3 exons.
UGACUUAUAGGGCCCGUAAGUCUCGUUUACUUUCACUUUCGAUUUACCACUUCCGGGUACAUCGGCAGACUUAUUUACCGUUACGCAUAUAGGUAACCCGAAGAACUCGAGGGGUAUAGAAGUUAAAUUUGUUUCGGUCCUCUUCAGAUUUGAAGGAAUGGAUAGCACGGGUCAAAAAAUGCAGAUGUAUAGACAAGGAGGUAUAUGACAAGUAUAGAAUAUACAGUUGUUCAAUAUGGACUAUUAAUCAACUGUUUGCACUGCCUAUGAUCCUGAAAUAUCUAUACAUCAAAGAUAAAAAGGGAAAAGAUGAAGGAGGAUUUGUCCAUGAAGACCUUUAUUGCAACUACCAUCUUCCAGUUCCUUAAUUUGAGAAUGAUAUCAGAGAACACACAGUUACAGUGAAAUAUUAGUUUAAUAUAAGCCACUGAGAAUAGUCAAAUGUACUUUCCUGAAGAAGAUGAAUGACAUCCAGCACAAAAAUCUUAAUGUAUAAAGAGUAUGAUUUUAUGGUGUUUGACACUAUGAACAUGUUAAUGUCACAAUGAUAGAAACAGAGUAAAAUAUCCACAUUUCAUUGCAGUUUUAAGUAUUAAAACUAGAUACUCUAUAUAUACCAAAGCUGAUAACACACCAGAGAUAAGGUUUUUCAUGGAAUCACAGUAUAGUCAUAUGACAUUAUGGACAUUAAAUGACUAUGAAGUAAAGAUUAGCAAAAAUAUUAUAUAUCAUCUACUACUAAUAUUGUGAGGUAAUCAUUGAUAAGCUCACAAAUUUGCAUUCAAAGCUUUGAUAUCAAGCUGAACAUUUUUCAAUUAGAAUAUGAUUUAUAACUCUAUGAUAAUUUGUUCAUGUUAAUUUUCAAAGUCUUUACAUUUGUAAAAGGAAAUAUUCUUAUUCUUGUAUCAGUAGACAUUCACAGUGUAAAGUUACAUUGUCCAAAUAACUAAUAAUAAAUCCAAGUGCUUUCCUGAAGUUUUUCUUCCACUGGAAAAUCAGUGUGAUAUAUAUGCUAAGCAGUGCACUAUAAAUUGUGUAAAAAUAAAAGUUUAUUAAACUUA